GACGAACGCUGGCGGCGGGCCUAAUACAUGCAAGUCGAGCGGUGAAGGUGGGUUUGUGCACCAAUUUGGAGAGCAGCGAACGGGUGAGUAACGCGAGGGGAAUCGGCCGUGGAGGGGGGGGCAACAUUAGGGGAGGAAUGCUAGUACCGCUUAACAGCGUGAAAGAUGAGGUUUAUGGUAGAAAGAUGCAAUUGCAGAACCCAAAGAGGAUCCCCCUUUGUAUUAGCUAGUUGGUGAGGUAAAGGCCUACCAAGGCGACGAUCCGUAGCUGGUCUGGGAGGAUGAUCCGUCACACUGGAACUGAGACACGCUCCAGACUCCUACGGGAGGCAGCAGUGGGGAAUAUUGGACAAUGGGCGAAAGCCUGAUCCAGCCAUGCCGCGUGUGUGAAGAAGGUCUUCGGAUUUUAAAGCACUUUGAGUUGGGAGGAAGGGCAGUAAGUUAAUACCUUGCUGUUUUGACGUUACCAACAGAAUAAGCACCGGCUAACUUCGUG
This 496-nucleotide ribosomal RNA is filed under the name uncultured bacterium. RNAcentral describes it as "partial 16S ribosomal RNA". It matches the Rfam family "Bacterial small subunit ribosomal RNA", at positions 28 to 507 of the family's 1533-position model. The record is from RNAcentral.